RNAcentral lists this small RNA (26 nucleotides) under Bombyx mori (domestic silkworm). RNAcentral describes it as "ovarian small RNA-19833". The record is from RNAcentral. Lineage: Eukaryota; Metazoa; Arthropoda; Insecta; Lepidoptera; Bombycidae.
UAAUGUCAAUUUUUUUCCUUCGUCGC